CCGUAGCCCAAGAGAUCGGGAUAACACCUGGAAACAGAUGCUAAUACCGGAUAACAACAGAUGAUGCCUAUCAACUGCUUAAAAGAUGGUUCUGCUAUCACUCUUGGAUGGACCUGCGGUGCAUUAGCUAGUUGGUAGGGUAACGGCCUACCAAGGCGAUGAUGCAUAGCCGAGUUGAGAGACUGAUCGGCCACAUUGGGACUGAGACACGGUCCAAACUCCUACGGGAGGCAGCAGGU
RNAcentral lists this ribosomal RNA (239 nucleotides) under uncultured Lactobacillus sp. RNAcentral describes it as "partial 16S ribosomal RNA". It matches the Rfam family "Bacterial small subunit ribosomal RNA", at positions 125 to 354 of the family's 1533-position model. The record is from RNAcentral. Lineage: Bacteria; Bacillati; Bacillota; Bacilli; Lactobacillales; Lactobacillaceae.